Hippocampus zosterae (dwarf seahorse) is the source of this 2077-nucleotide long non-coding RNA. RefSeq lists it as uncharacterized. The record is from RefSeq and is a predicted model, not a curated record. NCBI's taxonomy places the organism in Eukaryota, Metazoa, Chordata, Actinopteri, Syngnathiformes, Syngnathidae. The transcript has 3 exons.
CUGACCCCUCGGGUCACAGAGUGGAAAGAAGUGGAUGUGUCACAGCUACGCUUCUCUCCUUGUUAGAAUAAUAUUUCUACGGUGCUUUUAGGAUGCUAAGACUAAUCAAAACAGGACAUCCUGAGGAGGGCCCUGCUCACCAGCCGCUUUAUGUUUUUGUGUUUGUGGAGGAGCGACAAUCCCAGGAAGCUGUGAGAAGGGUUCAUCAAAGCUCUGAGUAGGGGGCCCUGGCUGAAGGAUCGCUGGAAUGCGGUGUGGAAAGGAAUCUCUACUGUCCUAUUGUUCCCUUAUUUCCUCGGUCUCAUCACAUGCCGGCACGUCCAGUUCACUUACAGGUUAGUCUCCAAGGCAGUUCCCAAGACUCGCGAAGUGACCCGCAGCCCGAAGCAGCACCGUGCACACCAGUGUGCGUGCAAUGAAUCCGACCACGCACGGGGGGGAUUUUUCACCUCCGAUGGGUUACACGAGAGCGCCCACUACAUGCAGCGUGCACGUCCGCGACUUGGAAACUUCCACCAUCGGCUUCUCGCUCAACUUUUUUUUUCAACUCCAGACUUUGCGCGUGACAGCGUUCAAACUCCUGGAUGUUGUUGUUUUUUUCCCCCUAUCCCUCAACCUCUCAAUUUUUGUAUGAUUUAAUAGAUGCCCGACCUAUAUAUAUCGCGGAAAGAAAUUUAAUCUCAAAAGAAGCUAUUGGUAACAGCUGUGAUGAGAUCAGAUGACAUGUUUUAAAAGUAGGAAAAAAAAGGGAUGUUGCACCUACUUGUGGCCAGUUUCCGUGCCCUGCCUUUGGACCUCAUGGUGCCAGUCUUUCGGCGUGAGUUUGUUUGGAUUUUUUUUCUCGGAUCCCCUUUUCUCCCUUUUUGCCGUUUUCCCCUCUCUUCUACGCUCUUUUUUUUCGCUCAAUCCCAGACGCGCUAUCUCUCCAGCAUUGUCAAUCCGGACACCUUCGCACAUGCGCACUAGGCUCCAAGGUCUGCGGGCUGCACGUGCCAGACAAAGUUGUGGGAGAUUGAUCGUUUUGGGGAUGAACCUGACGUGGUCAAGAUGCACGUUGUGGAUGGUUUGUCACUUUUUUUCCCACGCUGAGCGGAAGCUUUACAAUCUGUAAAAAAAAUAAACUGUCACGUUGUUACUCCCGUUUUGAGGUUUAUUUAAUGCACCGGACAGUUCAGUUUUCCCCUCAAAAUGAGGCACUUUCAGAAAGCAGUGGGCAACUCUAUACUGUUAUUCGGCGUAGUAAAAUGUGUCAAUAUGAGCUUUUUGUGCAUUAUAAAUAAAGCUACAUUAUUUUUAACAGUACAUCCACGGACAUUCAUUAUAAAACCACUCUCCUCGGGGGUUUGGGGUGGGGGUGACCCUUUCAAGCGUCACAUUAAUCACACUUCAUUGAAAUUGCAAUGUAUCGUGUAGUUAAUAAAGAGUGCACACAUUUAAUUGUGGAAUAAUACAGAGCGGGAGAAUUGGCCUCCCGUAGAGCACCUUUUUUGUGCUGGAAAUUAUAUUGCUGAAGUAGCCAUUAAUCCCAAUUUGAGACGUUCUUGUUGCCCUGGUGUAAUACUUUAUCUGUCGGUAAUUUAUGAAGGAUUGUCUCACUUGAAUUCACUCGGGAGAACAACUCAAAUCAAAACGGAACGCACAUAAUAAUGGGAGUAUUAUAGUUAUUAUUUUAAAAACUACUAAAUUAGCCCAUGCAUGCUGUUGUCUAUAAAAACCCGCGAAGGAAAGUGAAGACUAAUUAGAAAUGAACGACCUUCAAAAAGAUCAAAAUUGUUUAUCCGUAUCAAUUUGCAGCCGACAAAAUGUCAAGCAAAAACAAACAGGAAAUGCUCUUAAAGCCAAAACAUCCUCAAGGCCUUUACAAGCUCACUUGAUCGUAAAUAAAUCAAGCCCCCCCCCGCAUUUUAACCUCACUCAAUCCCAACAAAAACGAAUUUCGUUUCUUGCCACUGUAAUAAGGUCCACUGUUAGCUACCACCAUGCCCCGAGAGUGCGCGCCCCUCACGUGUACGCGCGCAAAAUCUGAGCUCAAGUGCAAACUGUUUCCACUCCAAAGAUCCUACAAUGCGUUGAAAAA